GACGAACGCUGGCGGCGUGCUUAACACAUGCAAGUCGAACGGGCCUUGUCCCCUUUUUUUUUGGGGGUGGGGUUAGUGGCGAACGGGUGAGUAACACGUGAGUAACCUGCCCCUCACUUCUGGAUAACCGCUUGAAAGGGUGGCUAAUACGGGGUGUUCUGGCCUGCUCGCAUGGGUGGGUUUGGAAAGAUUCGACCGGUUUUGGUUGUUUUGUUGGGGGAUGGGCUCGCGGCCUAUCAGCUUGUUGGUGGGGUGAUGACCUGCCAAGGCUUUGACGGGUAGCCGGCCUGAGAGGGUGGGCGGUCACACUGGGACUGAGACACGGCCCAGACUCCUACGGGAGGCAGCAGUGGGGAAUAUUGCACAAUGGGCGCAAGCCUGAUGCAGCGACGCCGCGUGAGGGAUGGAGGCCUUCGGGUUGUGAACCUCUUUCGCCAGUGAAGAAGGUCCUGCUCUUUGUGGUGGGGUUGACGGUAGCUGGGUUAAUGAAGCGCCGGCUAACUACGUG
RNAcentral lists this ribosomal RNA (508 nucleotides) under uncultured bacterium. Its description in RNAcentral is "partial 16S ribosomal RNA". It matches the Rfam family "Bacterial small subunit ribosomal RNA", at positions 28 to 507 of the family's 1533-position model. The record is from RNAcentral.